GAGGGUAACAGCUCAGUGGUAGAGUGCGUGCUUAACAUGCACAAGGUCCUGGGUUCUAUCUCCAGUACCUCCA
This 73-nucleotide transfer RNA is filed under the name Camelus bactrianus (Bactrian camel). It matches the Rfam family "tRNA". Rfam says of the family: Transfer RNA (tRNA) molecules are approximately 80 nucleotides in length. Lineage: Eukaryota; Metazoa; Chordata; Mammalia; Artiodactyla; Camelidae. The record is from Rfam by way of RNAcentral. RNAcentral also lists the same sequence under 1 other name.